GACGAACGCUGGCGGCGUGCUUAACACAUGCAAGUCGAACGGACAGGCCCUGCUUUUGUGGGGUGCUUGAGUGGCGAACGGGUGAGUAACACGUGAGUAACCUGCCCUUGACUUUGGGAUAACUUCAGGAAACUGGGGCUAAUACCGGAUAGGAGCUCCUGCUGCAUGGUGGGGGUUGGAAAGUUUCGGCGGUUGGGGAUGGACUCGCGGCUUAUCAGCUUGUUGGUGGGGUAGUGGCUUACCAAGGCUUUGACGGGUAGCCGGCCUGAGAGGUUGACCGGCCACAAUGGGACUGAGGGACGGCCCAGACUCCUACGGGAGGCAGCAGUGGGGAAUAUUGCACAAUGAGCGGAAGCCUGAUGCAGCAACGCCGCGUGCGGGAUGACGGCCUUCGGGUUGUAAACCGCUUUCGCCUGUGACGAAGCGUGAGUGACGGUAAUGGGUAAAGAAGCACCGGCUAACUACGUG
RNAcentral lists this ribosomal RNA (468 nucleotides) under uncultured bacterium. Its description in RNAcentral is "partial 16S ribosomal RNA". It matches the Rfam family "Bacterial small subunit ribosomal RNA", at positions 28 to 507 of the family's 1533-position model. The record is from RNAcentral.